AGAAUAGCGCAUGCGCGCAAGGAAACGUCGAGGGGGUGGAUGACGAGCGGAGCGGGCGUUGAGGUGGCCACACAGGGAGCAUAGGUUGCGGAGCCGUCUUCGCCCUAGACCCGCCUUCCCGCCCGCGUGGUAAAGAGCGGAAAACGCUCCCCCUGCUUGCGAGCAGGGCGCAGUUAGCGCGGCAGCUGGCGCGAGCAAGGCGUCGUUCCCGAGGGUGGGGGGGCAGGAGCGUCAUAGCGCCCCCGUUUGCGGUAGCCCUGUGCGCGCGGGUUAAUGAGCCCUGUGGUGCGUUUGUGCCCGCGUUGCGUGUAACCCGAGUACGAGCUCUGUGACAAAAGAGAUGAUCCCACCCGCCGCCUCCUCUCUCCCCUCUGGCCCUGUCUGCAGCUUAGCACAGAAGCCGUGUGGCUUGCGGGCUGGGCCCGCCUUGCCGAAGAAAACCCUCGUUCUUAUCUAGGGCGCAGUGAGAACCGAGCCGGCAGGUUUCCCGCGCCACGUGCUGGCCUUGGCCUGCGUGGGGGUGAGGGGCUUUAUCUCGGAGCGAGAAGGCGCGUUCACGCCUGCCUUGACUCCUGCAGUUUUUGGCUUCUCUGGGCUGAGUCUGCCAAUUAGCGGGGAACGUGUGUGAUGUGGGAGCCGGAACAGGCCCAGCGAAGGCUUUGUGGGGGAACCCCAAAGAUCGAUCUCUAGGGUGGGAACAACUUUUAAUUCCUCAAUUGGCUGGGCUGGAUUGGCACUGCUGACCUACAGGUGAAAGGCUAAUUGGUCAUUAGCGACGGCCUGGAGCAUUCAGAGUAGCAGCCGUGUUAGUCCGUACUCGCAAAAAGAAAAGGAGUACUAGUGGCGCCUUAGAGACUAACCAAGGAAUCCGAUGAAGUGAGCUGUAGCUCACGAAAGCUUAUGCUCAGAUAAAUUGGUUAGUCUCUAAGGUGCCACUAGUACUCCUUUUCUUUUUGCUGAAGCAUUCAGUUCUCCUUCAGAGCUAAUUUUUACUUUGUUGAAAAUAAGAUUGCUUUCUUGAAAUAUGUUUGUUUAACCAAGUUCUGAUCUUUUUAGAGCACAUGCAGGCAAGGUCUUCCACUUUCUGUAUACACAGGCAAAAAUAUCCCCACUGUGCUUUCUCCUCUUUAAACAUACGUUUUAAUAAGUAUCCCACCCAUUUCUAACAGAAGAGUUCUCACUACGCUAAAACAAAUAUUGAUACAACAACCAAAAUACCUAUAAAUAUGUUUUGUUAUAUAAAUCAUUUCAAUAUUUAUUGCAUGGGCUUCACACUGACGUAUGUCCCACCCCGCAUGAGCCGUUAGAGUUUGAAUCCAUAAGUUAUAACCUUCAGAUACAUGGCACCAACUGCUUCUAUGGUAGCUAUGGGAGUUGCAUGAGCAUCUGCCAUUAAGUAGAAUGACUUUUCCUAUUAGCAUGGAGGCAGUAAGAGACUCAUAAAUCUCUACAGGAGGCCUAACCACUAGGAAGGGACAAAGAUCUGCACUGUGUUAGCAUGGGUUACCCAAAGAGAUAAUUUAUCUCCUUCCAUCUGAGAAGUAGUGUGGUAAGGUGUGGUCUGUUCCUACCUCUGUCUAGUCUGAUGUUACCUUUUCCCACUUGUCUGUUAUCAUAGCUGUAAAAUGAGUGAACAAUAAUUAUGUCUACCCAAAGGUAGGGGAAAUGAUGCCUUGGUUAAUAAGAGUUAGGAAGUGACUAGAAAUAUUCAGAGCAGUUAGCAGAAGAGCUGGCAUUAGACACAUGGGCUCUCAGAAGACAAUUUAGUGCAUCUUCCCAUAGGCAACGCUGUAUUGCAGGCUCUUGCUCUUGCCCUCUCCCUCAAAAAUGGUGUGACGUAUUACCAGUUGUAUAGGAACAAAAUGUGUGACUGUCAAAUCUUGGGUAAUACUUGGUGGCCUGGUCUGGGAGGAAGGGGUGUCUCCAGAUGUGUGAAGGGGUUUAGGGUUCCCAAAUGUAUGUGGAAAUUGUGGGGUGGGCCUCUGGAGGUGAAGGGAGGGGUGAGAGGGAGAAGCGGGUGAAUGUUCAGUUAUGUGUCUGCCUCAUCCACUUCUCCAGAAGUGGAGAUUUGAGGGGAGGGGAAAAGUUUCCAGAUGUGACAUUUACUUUUUCUGGGUAGGUAAAGGUCUACGGGUAUGAACAUUUUUGAUGUGUCAGGAUGGGAUUGUUAAGGAAAUGUCUCUAUGUUAAAUUACCAGGAGUUCAUGUCAGAAGCCUUUGUUGUAAGUAGCUUAGUAAAAACAUGGUGAACUAUUGUAUUCCAUUAAAGAUUAUUAUUAUUUCUAUAAUGCAAUAGGUAUGCAUAGUUCUUCACAGACAAUAAAAAGUGAAGUUAAGACUUUGAAUUCUGGUGAGCAUCUCAUUUAUUUACUCCUUGUCCAAUUACUUCAAAUUUGAUAAGUAUUCUGUCUCAGUCCCAAAAUUAAACUACCAAAUUUGAGCUUGGAUUUUACAUGAGGAAACCAAAACUGAGUUUAUAAUGGAAAUGAAGAUGCAAUAUUAACUAUGGAAUAACUGCCACUGUAUCAUAAUAGGAUUUAAUUUCAAGUAGAAUGUAUUUUUGGGUUAUUGACUCAACCCAUGUGGAGUUAAUUGCAGAAUCUGGGCCCAAUAUAUUAAACUGAAAUGUAUACAUAGGGGCCAUGAUCUGACUAGACCCUCUUGGGGUUUGUUCUGUGGAUCUUGGAGGGGGAUCAGCGUUGGCUUUCAAGUUGAAUGUUAAUACAGAAGUCUGUCCUGGAUUUGGUACUGUUCAAAAUUUUCAUGAAUGACUUGGAUAAUGGAGUGCAGAGUAUACUUAAAAUUUGUGAAUGACACCAAACUGGGAAAGUUGCAAACACUUUGGAGACAGGAUUAGAAUUCAGCCCUCCCAUUUCUAUGAUUUAUUGUCAAUGGCUUAUUGUUGUAGUGUUGCAAAAUUCUGGAUUAUCAGGUAUGCUGUUUGAUCAAAGCCUGGAACUGAGUGGCAGAGACCCUAUAGACAUAGUAGCAGAUCCGAUCCACUCAAGUAAACAUACAAACAGAACCUUUUUUUUUUUUUUAAAGCCAGAUACUGAAUUUGUAUGCACUGGAAAUGAAUAUUUUUCUGCAACAUUGGACCUGGGUGGGAGUGAACCUCAUUUUACUCUGAUAUCUGGAAUCUAGUAUAUAUUGGAAAGACAUUGGGACGCAGCUACAGAGCUCCAUGUCAGGCUGGAGAUGGUUGAGAAGGAACCAAGGGGGUUGGGCCGUGUGUGUGAUAGAUGAGGCGCCAAUGGCGCUGCGAGACCACCACUGGGCAUGCGCGACCCAGACGGACACUGCUGUUGAAAUUCUCCGAUCAGUGGCACAGGGGCGCACCAACACCUGAAGUGGAGCAUCCACAGGGGGACACAUCUCGAGGAACCUCAAUUAGAGUACCAGGCCUUCCAAGGUGUUGCUGUGAAGAGAAGAGCUUGAGUCUGUCGUCGUUGCUGGCCUGGUACUAUUGGGAUCAUUGGAGGCUGCAAUCUGGGGCUGAAAUGGAUGGUUAGUGAAUGGGCGCCUCAAAGUAGGAAAGGGAGAGUGCAGUGCUGUCUUUAGGCCCAGCGCUCGGAAGGUGGCUUGGACCAAGUUGAUGCUGCUCUUUACCUGAGCCUCUGAACGACCCUUAAUCAGCCAGUCAGUGAGGUACAUGUAUCCCUGAACACCUUGCUUUCUGAGGAAGGCAGCUACCACUGCCAGGCAUUUUGUGAAAACCCGGGGGGCUGCGGACAGGCCAAAGGGAAGAGUGGUAAACUGGAAAUGAUCUGUGGCCACUGAAGAUAGAAAUGUGAAAGUAAGCAUCAUUCUAGUCGAGGGCGGUCAGCAUACAAGUCCCCUGGAGCCAGGGAGGGGAUGAUGGAGGCCAGGGAGACCAUACGAAACCUCAGUUUCUUGAGAUAUCUGUUGAGUUGAAAGAGGCCCAAUAUGGGACAAAGGCCCCCUUUGGCCUUUGUGCUUAGGAAAUAACCAGAGUAAAACCCCUUCCCUCUCAAGUUUUGAUGUAAGUUCUCCUUGGCCCCCGUCUGUAGGAGUGUCUGCACCACUGUUCCCUCUAAGCUGUGCGUGUGUGCGCAUGCACACAGAUCCUAAACCCCGUGCACAUGGCGAAAUACCGCGCACACAAACAUUUGCACAGAAGCACAAAAAUUUGCACAGAAGAAAUUUUUUGCACACACAGCCUGUCAAAAAUUAGAGGGAACAUUGGUCUGCACCUCCUAGGUAAGGAGUUGCUUGUGAGAAGGGUCCCUGAAGAGGGACAGGGAUGGGGUGUGGUAAGGAGGGGUGGAUGAAAACCGCAGGGUAUAACCAAUCGCCACCGUAUUUAGCACCCAGGAGUCCAGUGUUAUGCAGAACCACGCCAGGCUGAAGUGGGACAGUCAGCCCAAAAAUAAAGGGGAGGCAGGAUCUGAAGUGGGAACUGAUACAGCGCCCUUGGGUGCACUUUCAAAAGCCUGCGUGGUCUCAGCUGAGUACCUGUGUGACCCUGGCUGGGAGGUUGAGGUGAAUGGAAAUGGUUGACAGCACUUGUAACCUCUCUCUUUUCUCUUAUGGGGUCCUGUCUCAGAGGCGGAGCCAAGAAGCAUGGCGACUGUUGAAGCCUGAAGUGCUUCCUCAAAGCGGACGGAGCAAGAGGCCCAGGGACCUGAGGGUAGCCCUUGAGUCCUUCAGGCCAUGUAGUCUCGCGUCCGUCUGCUCUGAAAAUAGUGAGGAGCCUUCGAAAGGGAGGUACUGGAUAGACUGCUGGAUCUCCUGAGCAAGUCCCGAUGACUGCAGCCGGGAGCAUCAUCUCAUGGUGACAAUGGAGGCCAUUGUCCUGGCCGCCAUGUCUGCUGCAUCCAGUGCCCCCGGAGAGAGGCUCUGGCAACAUUCUUUCCUUUUUCUAAGAUGGCUGAAAAUUCCUGCCAUAAGUCUUAAGACAUGGUGUCCUUAAAUUUGGACACAGAGUCCCACAAAUUGUAGUCGUAUCUCCAUAGUAAGGCUUGCUGGUUUGAGAUACAUAGUUGUAGGCCGCCUGUCAAAUAAACUUUCCUCCCAAACAGA
This is a long non-coding RNA of Chelonia mydas (Green sea turtle), 5043 nucleotides long. RefSeq lists it as uncharacterized. The transcript is spliced from 4 exons. NCBI's taxonomy places the organism in Eukaryota, Metazoa, Chordata, Testudines, Cheloniidae. The record is from RefSeq and is a predicted model, not a curated record.